Molecule: long non-coding RNA, 8069 nt
Organism: Oncorhynchus masou masou (cherry salmon)
Lineage: Eukaryota; Metazoa; Chordata; Actinopteri; Salmoniformes; Salmonidae
Exons: 4
Source: RefSeq, a predicted model, not a curated record
AAAGUUCAAGGGGGCCGAAUACUUUCGCAAGGCACUGUAGUUCUUCUUUGGGGCGGCGAUAUUCUCCAGGCUGAUCCCAGGGUCCUACUCCGAACAAUUCGUCCUCCCAUGUCCAUUCCUCUUUUUGUUGCUCCUGCUGUUGCAGUUGCCUGUUACCACGCCGCUUGGUCAUGUUGUGGUGGGUGAUUCUGUAACGGUACUCGUCUGUAGAAGGAGAAGCGGACCAAAAUGCAGCGUGGUGGUUAUUCAUGUUCUUUAAUUAAAUGAACGAGACAUGAAAAUAACUAAACAAUACAAAACAACAAACGGACCGUGAAAACCUAUACAGCCUAUCUGGUGACAACAAACAAAGAGACAGGAACAAUCACCCACAAACACACAGUGAAACCCAGGCUACCUAAAUAUGGUUCCCAAUCAGAGACAAUGACUAACACCUGCCUCUGAUUGAGAACCAUAUCAGGCCAGACAUAGAAAUAGACAAACAAGACAUCCAACAUAGAAUGCCCACUCAGAUCACACCCUGACCAACCAAAACAUAGAAACAUACAAAGUAAACUAUGGUCAGGGUGUGACAUUUCAACUCAACUGGUGUAGACUUUAAAGUGAAAUGCUUGCUUACAAAACUUUCCCGAUGAUGCAGUGUUUAAAAAAGCAUUAUAAUAAAUAAAUUAGUAACAAACACAAGAGAAAUACAAAACAAUAUACAACAAUGGGGCUAUUUACAGGAAAUACCAGUACCAGAUCAAUGUGCAGAAGUACAGGUAGUUGAUGUAGAUAUGUACAUGAAGGCAAGGUAAAGUGACUAGGCAUCAGGAGAGAUAAUAAUAAUAAUAAGAGUAAAAUAAGGAACAGAGUUGCUGCAGAAAAUUAUGUGUAGAAGUGUGUGUGUGUGUUUCUGUGUUGGUAUACAUCUUUGUUAUGUGUGUGUGUGUGUGCAUAUGUAGUGUUUGAAUGUGUGAGGGAUGUGUGUGGGAGUAACAGUGUAGUGUGGGUGUGUGAGUGAGUGUGUACUGUAUAUAAAGUCUAGUGAGUGUGCGUAGGGUCAGAUCAAAAUAGUAAGGGCAGAUAGUUUGUGUACCAUUAAUGGACUAUUCAGCAGUCUGGCUAUUUAAUAGUCUUAUUUCUUGGGGUAGAAGCUGUCUAUGAGCCUGUUGGUCUGAGAGCCGAUGCUCCAGUACCGUUUGUUGGGCGGUAGCAGAGUGAACAGUCUAUGGCUUGGGUGGCUGAACUCUUUGGCAAUUUUUCGGGGCUGCCUCUCACACCGCCUAAUAUAGAGUCCGCACCACCUUUUUUAUCUCUUUACUUUCAAGGGCAGUUGCCAUACCAAGUGGUGAUGCAGCCAGUCAAGAUGCUCUCAAUGUAAAACUUUUUGAGGAUCUGAGGGCCCAUUCUCUUCACGACUGUGUGGGUGUGUGUCGACCAUGUUAAGUCAUUACUGAUGUGGACGUCAAGGAACUUGACUAUCAUACACUUUCCAUCUCCAAGAGGAGAAAAACUCCUCAAUUGGAUUCAGGAAAGGCGAGUAUGGAGGGAGGUACAAGUUCAUAAACUGCCCAUCGAUGUUAAACCAUUCCCUUACCUGAGCAGCUUGGUGGAACCUGACAUUGUCCCACACUAUCACAUAGGUGGGAAUGGGAUUCUCAUUUAACUCUUGACCCUGCUGCUCUUGAACCUGCUGCUCAAAUAAAAUAGCUCUUAGAUUGGCAAUAAAUCUUAGAAGGUGCUGGGUGUUAUAUGGCCCGAGUGUAACAUGGUGAUGUAGAACACCAUGGUUGCUAAUAGCAGCACAGAUUGUGACAUUGCCACCUCGUUGACCAGGGACUUCAACAAUGGCCCGCUGUCCAAUCAUGUUUCGGCCUCUCCUUCUCCUCUUUAUUCGAUUGAAGCCUGCUUCAUCGACAAAGAUGAACUCACGGGAUCUGUCCAAGGAUUGCAAGUCAAAUAUUGUCUGUGUAGAAAUACAAAAUACUGCAUGUAGGAUUUUGUAAGUCAUACAGAGACAGUACUAUACUGUAGAGUACAAUUAGGCUUCUGAUUCACAUACAUUGUAUGUACUGAAGAGUAAUGUCAUUCACGUAGUAUGUGUUAGUACUGUAGACAAUCUGGAUUACAGUAGAUGUUUCUGAAUACACUUACUUGCACAUACUGAGCUCGCAGUUCUUUCUCCCUGGGUGAGUUGCGCUCAAAAGGUACUCUGUAUGUACUCUGUUUACUUGUUUCAUUCGCAUCCUGUUACGAUGGAGGACACGGUCAAUUGUGGAAAUGCUCACACUGUCGAUUCCCUGGAAGUGUGUGUUGUCUUGUAUCACUUGUUCCUAGAUUUCUCUGGGUCGUAUUGCAUUAUCUUGAAGGACCAUGCCAACUAUAACGGCCUCUUGCUCCCGAGUGAAUAUAGCUGUCCUUCCACCUACAUGUGGCAGCCUUGCAAUUCUACAAAAAGUAGUUGUGCAGUUACAAAACAUAUUCAUGCAGUACAAUACAUACAGUGAUUAACUUUACAAAUGUCUAUUGAAACAGCUGCAUAUAGUGUAGUACAGUAAAUGUGCAAUUACAAAAAUACAGUAGUAUACUGUACCUGUUCUCUUCUCUGAAUGUCCUUACUAUGGUGGACACAGAAAAUCGGCUCAAAUUGGGUUGCACUCUAAGUCCUGCUUCCCUCAUUGUCAGUCCAUGAACAAGAACAUGGUCUAUAACUGUUACUCAAAUUUUAUUAGAUAUUUCCACUCUUUGGCUUCCUCUUCGUCCUCCUCUUCCUCUUUCUUGCCCUCCUCCUCCUCUUCCUCCUCGUCGCCCACCUCGCAUACGCACUCGUCCUCUCACAUUGUUUCUUCUAUCCAUUCUCAGACUUUCUCCUUUCCACCUUCAACAACCUGUUUGCUCUCUGAACUGGCUUAUAUUGGUUGUGUCGCAUCAUUUGAAACAGGUUAAAUCAAUUUUGAGUGGUUGUGUUUACCAGUAUGGAUGACAUGUGCAUUAGAGUGCAGAAUAUGUUUUGAGAAUGAGAAUGUGUUUAGAGUUUUGCUGAAAAGUCUAAGUGAGAUCUGCAAAUUGUGUUUUACCAUGUGAAAUGAGUCCAGGCAACUGAGAACUUUGUUCAGCCAAUGGGUUUUAGUGUUUUAGCAAUUGAGAAAAACUGUAAAUCCAGUUUAAAUGUAAAUGUUAGCUGUACAUGUACACUACCGUUACUUAGAAAUGUCCUUGUUUUUGAAAGAAAAGCUAUUUUUUUUGUCUAUUUACAAUAACAUGAAAUUGAUCAGAAAUACAGUGUAGAUAUUGUUAAUGUUGUAUAUGACUAUUGUAGUUGGAAACGGCAGAUUUUUAAUGGAAUAUCUACAUAGGCGUACAGUGGCCCAUUAUCAGCAACCAUCACUCCUGUGUUCCAAUGGCAUGUUGUGUUAGAUAAUCCAAGUUUAUAAUUUCAAAAGGCUAAUUGGUCAUUAGAAAACCCUUUUGCAAAAAUGUUAGCACAGCUGAAAACUGUUGUUCUGAUUAAAGAAGCAAUACAACUGGCCUUCUUUAGACUAGUUGAGUAUCUGGAGCAUCAGCAUUUGUAGGUUCGAUUACAGGCUCAAAAUGGCCAGAAACAAAUACCUUUUUUUCUGAAACUCGUCAGUCUAUUCUUGUACUGAGAAAUGAAGGCUACUCUAUGUGAGGAAUUGCCAAGAAACGGAAGAUCACAGAACAGCACAAACUGGCUCUAAUCAGAAUAGAAAGAGGAGUGGGAGGCCCCGGUGCACAACUGAGCAAGAGGACAAGUACAUUAGAGUGUCUAGUUUGAGAAACAGAUGCCUCACAAGUCUUCAACUGGCAGCUUCAUUAAAUAGUACCCGCAAAACACCAGUCUCAACGUCAACAGUGAAGAGGCGACCCCCGAGAUGCUGGCCUUCUAGGCAGAGUUGCAAAGAAAAAGCCUUAUCUCUGUCCAAUGUCUGUGUUCUUUUACCCAUAUUAAUUUUUUAUUUUCAUUUUCAUUGACCAGUCUGAGAUAUUGCCUUUUCCAGCUACAAUAGUCAUUUACAACAUUAACAAUAUCUACACUGUAUUUCUGAUCAAUUUCAUGUUAUUGCUACGUAAAAAAUGUUUUUCUUUAAUUAACAAGGACAUGUCUAAGUGACCCCAAAUGUUAGAAUUGUAGUGCAGGUUUGAAUCAUCAAUAUGUUCAUUUCUAAAGGACAGUUGUUGAAUUGUGCUGGCAGCCAAAUCAUGCCGUUGUCUUUCUCACACACACGCACACGCACACGCGCACACACACACACACGCACACGCACGCACACACACACACAGACCUCCUUCUCUCUCUCUCCCCCUCAGAGUGGCCCAGCCAUGGCCUGGGUCUUUAGUGAGAGCAGAGGGAGGAGACACACUGCACUUCCUCUCAACUGCACUUCCUCUCACCACUGCACUUUGUCUCAACUCUGAGCUGAAUGGUCUCUGUCUGUGAGGCCUCCAAUCCCUUAGGACGAGCAACUGGCUCCUUCUAUGUACACACAUCCUCUGGUGAGAAUCACCUGAGACACACACACACACACACACACACUAUUCAUACUGGUUGACAGUGGUGGAAAAAGUACAUCAUGCCUUAAUAAAAAAUGACUCACAUAAAAGCGGAAUUCACCCAGCAAAUUUCUACAUAAGUAAAAGUCUAAGUAUUUGGGUUUAAAUACACUUAAGUAUCAAAAGUAAAUGUAAUAGCAAAAUAAUGCUUAAGUAUCAAUAUAUUAAGCAAACCAGAUGGCACAAUUGUCUUUUUUAUUUGAUUUACGUACAGCCAGGGGCACUCCAACACUCAGACAUCAUUUACCAACAAAACAUUUGUGUUUUGUGAGUCCGCCAGAUCAGAGGCAGUAGGGUAGAACAGGGAUGGUCUCUUGAUAAGUGCGUGAAUUGGACCAUUUUCCUGUCCUGCUAACCAUUCAAAAUGUAACAAACCCUUUUGGGAGUCAGGGAAAUGUAUGGAGGAAAAAGUACAUUAUUUUUUUAGGAAUGCAGUGAAGUAAAACUAAAAGUUGUCGAAAAUAUAAAUAGUAGUAAGUAGUAUUUUAUAGUAUUUUUACAUAUGUAGUUUACACCACUGCUGGUUGCUUAACUGGUUUCUUAUACUGUUUUAUAAGUUGCUUAUAAUUGUUAUGCGAUCGUUUGAUUGGUUUGUUGAUUUGGUUGCUUGAUUUAUUGAAUACUUUCUUGUCCCAUAGGGAAAUGUGUCUGGCAACGAUAUAGGUAUUCCUGGCACACACAUAUGAGGUUGAGAAAUGUGAUGUAGCAUGGAUAACAAAGUUGAGCCAGAUGCUCACUUAUCUUUCACUGCAUGUGUUAAUUUCAAACUUAUGGCCUCAUUCCUCUUUCUACAGGAAGGUACUGUAUAACCAUUACUAAGAUGGUCAUGAUACACUUAUCUCUUGCUGCAUAUGUACAUGUCUUAUAACCUAGUAUUAUCUCUUAACUUUCUGCAGCGAAGGGUUUACAACAAAGCUAUACUGAUUCUUAGGGCAACAAAAUUACACGUAAAUGCAGCUACUAGGAAAACAAAAUGACAUGUAAUUGUAAAUGCAGACUUAUAUUAAUUGUAUCUCCUCUCUCCUCACAGAGACCUCUGCUGCCUGUUGGGUUCUACUCGUUGUUAUUCUCUGUCUGAUUGUUGCUGGGGCUGCACUCAUAUGGUACCUGUGCAAAUACGGACAGUUUCCUUGGAGUUCAAUCAUGGCCAAUCACCAGUUCCAGGCACCACCACAGGUUGAGGAAGAUGAACCUGGGACGUCUGGGUUCUGACACUCCAAACCAGGAAGACGGAGAAGGAACAAGUAGUUUGAUGAAAAUGACCCAAUACACCUCCAGGCUGUGUAAGGGCUAUUUGAGCAAGCAGGAGAGUGAUGGAGUGCUGCAUCAGAUGACCUCGCCUCCACGAUUCCCCAACCUCAACCCAAUUGAGAUGGUUUGGGAUGAGUUGGACAACAGAGUGAAGGAAAAGCAGCAAAGUGCUCAACAUAUGUGGAACUCCUUCAAGACCGUUGGAAAAGUAUUCCAGGUAAAGCUGUUUGAGAGAAUGCCAAGAGUGUGCAAUGUAAUGUUACUGAAAUUACAAUUUACAUUGAACUUUUACAUGUAAUUGGCCUUUAAUGUGAAAUGGGUUGGUAAAGGCGUCCGUAGGUCUCCGUUGGGAUGGUGUGGUAUUUGAUUAGACUGGGGUCAACUGAAACCAAGGCUAUCUUUAUGUCCAACAAUGCAACGAGGAGGUGAUUUAUGAAAAUUGCCUAGCAACUGAUGCUGCACAACACCAUCAACAUGGACCCACAAGACUGAGAUAAAAAAGGAGAUAGAGUAAACAGAAAGACGAGAGUGUUGGGUGAGAAAGUGAGGGGAGGUGCUGGGUGAGAGAAUGUACAGCCUUUCCAUUUCAGGCAUUGACCAACUGAUAACAACAGUGCUGAGGUGAUGGAAAUAUAUGGACGUCAUUUGUACCAGAGCAUGAGAGACAGAUACACCUCUGUACUAUAUAGUCAGAAGGUGGUGCUUGGGGGUUGUUGCUUUGCUUGUUUACAGCAUAGCAACAAACCCAUGGUCUAAAAUCUAGGUAUUAUGCUUUUAUCUAGGAAUUAAAUGCAAUAUAUCUCAGAUAUAUCUCUUUCUAAAUGGCACAUUGGCACCUUUGCUUUAUUUUUCUAUUCAGAGGACUAUUCAAAGAAUGUAUCCAAGGCCGAAAUAAAAUAACAUCUAAAUCAAAUGUAACGUUAUUCAUCACAUGCUUCGUAAACAACAGGUGUGGAUUAACAGUGAAAUGUUAGUGACAGGUCCUUCCCAACAAUGCAGAGAGAAAGAAAAUAGAGAAAUAAUAGAAAAGUAAAAACAAGUAAAAUUACAAGUAAUAAUAGAUAGACAAUAAGUAACGAUAAAAGGGUACCAGUACAGUCUCGAUGUGUAGGGGUAUGAGAUAUGAGGUAAAUACUGUAUGUACAUAUAAUUAGGAAUAAAGUGAUAGAUAGUAAACAGUAGUAGCAGCGUAUGUGAUGAGUAAAAAAACAUUUGUGCAAAAAGUGUCAAUCAAGAUAGUCCGGGUAGCUAUUUGGUUAACUAUUUAACUAACUAUUUAGCAGUAUUGUGGCAGGGCUUGCAAACUAUUAUGGACUACAAAGGGAAAUCCAGUCCGUAAUAGUUUAUAAGCCCUGCCACAUCCGAUGGAAUCUUCUGGACACUGGGAUUCUUCAGGCCUAUCUACCAAAAUGGUCUGAGAACAAGGUGAUCCAGGAAACUUCGGAAUCCCGGGGAAUCCCGGGACUCUUGCUAGUCCACCAGGCGGCAAUGUUACUUGUGUGGAGUGUGCUGAUGAUGUCGCCCCACUGUAUGCGCUUCGGUAGCCUGAUUACACCCAGACUGAUGACAUGUUCAAAACUGCAGUCAUAACAUGGUGGUACCAAACCGAAGUGCAGUAAAUUAGCUGUCACACCUACUCCUUUUCCCUCCUUCUGGCGCUCAACGUCGCCAGUCUACUGACCACUGGCCCUGGCAACUAGAUUACGCACACCUGUUCCCCAUCAUUACGCACACCUGUUCCCCAUCAUUACGCACACCUGGUCAUCCUUUUUUCUUUGAUUACUCCCUCUUUAUUUCUCCCUCAGUUGUCAUGAGGGAGCAUUGUUUUCUCUGACGUUCAGUACACGUCUCAUGUUUUUUAAUUUGUAUUGUUUCAUUAUUAAACUCACCUUCUGCACUUGCUUCCUGACUCCCAGCAUGUAUGUUACAGAAUACUAUCUCGCAAUAUGGAAGCAGCAGGAGAUAAAACCAUCUCCCAGACCAUCAACGAACAGGGUCAUGUACAUGUACUUCACCAACACCACGACCAGCUAGCGCAACUGGGUACUGCAUGGAGGAGGUCCUCCGUUUUCUCUACUGCCUCGACACCACCAGCGAGGCUCUCCAUACCCCUAUCAGAGGGCCUCCUACCUCGGGUCUUCACAGUGAGCCAGUCCCCCAGCCUACUCAGUUGUCAUGAGGGAGCAUUGUUUUCUCUCACGUUCAGUAUGCUUCUCAUGUUUGUUCAUUUGUAUCGUUUCAUUAUUAAACUCACCUUUCGCAUA